GACGAACGCUGGCGGCGUGCUUAACACAUGCAAGUCGAACGGUGAAGCGCCUUCCUUUUUGGUGGGUGUGGAUGAGUGGCGAACGGGUGAGUAACACGUGAGUAACCUGCCCCCUUCUUCUGGAUAACCGCAUGAAAGUGUGGCUAAUACGGGAUAUUCUGGGUCUGUCGCAUGAUGGGUCUGGGAAAGAUAUUGUUUCGGUGGGGGAUGGGCUCGCGGCCUAUCAGCUUGUUGGUGGGGUGAUGGCUUACCAAGGCGGUGACGGGUAGCCGGCCUGAGAGGGUGGACGGUCACACUGGGACUGAGACACGGACCAGACUACUACGGGAGGCAGCAGUGGGGAAUAUUGCACAAUGGGCGCAAGCCUGAUGCAGCGACGCCGCGUGAGGGAUGGAGGCCUUCGGGUUGUGAACCUCUUUCGCCAGUGAAGCAGGCCUGCCUCGUUUGUGGGUGGGUUGACGGUAGCUGGAUAAGAAGCGCCGGCUAACUACGUG
Molecule: ribosomal RNA, 494 nt
Filed under: uncultured bacterium
Lineage: Bacteria
Description: partial 16S ribosomal RNA
Rfam family: Bacterial small subunit ribosomal RNA
Source: RNAcentral